This 1002-nucleotide long non-coding RNA is filed under the name Pocillopora damicornis (cauliflower coral). RNAcentral's name for it is "uncharacterized LOC113681490, transcript variant X3". The record is from RNAcentral. Lineage: Eukaryota; Metazoa; Cnidaria; Anthozoa; Scleractinia; Pocilloporidae.
UAGUUGCAAACUAUCACUUCUACGAAACGGCAGAUACUUUCUACCCCUUGUUUCUAAAAUAAUAUUAUUAUUAUAUAACUGAUAUUGACCUCGUUUCCCUCCUAAUAAAAACAGAUGCAAACGAAACGUUUCCGUGCUGAGAUUAAAACUGGGAUAAGGGUUUGUCGGCUGACAAACUGAGGAGAGGAACUUCAGUCUUACGUUUUCAAGAGGCUAUCAUACUUUCGUUCAUCAUACAUAAUUCCAAGUCAGGAGGAAAUAUCAAACAUAAACCUUGCCGAUCACGAAAGUUGCGGAAUUACUGUUGACAGAGUAAGCGAGAAAAGAUGGCGGUUAUGAAGCCUGAUUUGGGAAUUCAGUGUUAUGCAAGACAACACACUCAAGCUGAUCAAGAGAACAGACAACUGAGCUUGAAGCAUGUUAACCUAAUCGAAUUUGGAAGUUACUUGAUGAUCGUUGCACCCUCUAGGUGUGAAAACAGUUUUAAAGAUUGGUUUCACUGUAAUCUUUUCCGGUUAAUAAUCUAUCACCAGUUUCACUGUAAUCUAUUCCCAUAUACAUAAACGGUGUACAUAAACACACUCGAGUCGAAAGCGUCACCGAUUUUCUUUCAGGAGCUCAACUAGGUAGUCUUUCUUAUCUAAUCUCUGGACUUUCCAAAUGAGGAUUCAAAGAGAGGUCGAAGUUCAUCCGUUAAUGAAACUAUGAUUUAUAUCAUAUUGCAUUUACUUUCUUCUACGAGGACAAAGAACCCACUAAAAUAUGUGUCACUUCUUACGCGAGGUUUAGUUGCUCAGUUUGUACUAGCGCCAAACUUGUAUCUUGAAAACACGCCGGAGUUUGUAUCCCGUUCAAGCCUCGAUAUAUUCAGACCUUUUUUUUUUUUAUUCAAUUGUUUAUUUAAAGCUCAACUCUUAAUUUUUCUGCACUUGAACUUCAUCUGCAAGUGAGCACAUGACUUAUUUCAUUAAAACCGCGAUAAGACGGCGGAAAUUAAACCGA